This 257-nucleotide ribosomal RNA is filed under the name uncultured bacterium. RNAcentral's name for it is "partial 16S ribosomal RNA". It matches the Rfam family "Bacterial small subunit ribosomal RNA", at positions 103 to 354 of the family's 1533-position model. The record is from RNAcentral.
CGGGUGAGUAACACGUGGGCAACCUGCCCAAAAGAGGGGGAUAACACUUGGAAACAGGUGCUAAUACCGCAUAACCAUAGUUACCGCAUGGUAGCUAUGUAAAAGGUGGCUAUGCUACCGCUUUUGGAUGGGCCCGCGGCGCAUUAGCUAGUUGGUGGGGUAAAGGCUUACCAAGGCAAUGAUGCGUAGCCGAACUGAGAGGUUGAUCGGCCACAUUGGGACUGAGACACGGCCCAAACUCCUACGGGAGGCAGCAG